Molecule: long non-coding RNA, 439 nt
Organism: Olea europaea var. sylvestris
Lineage: Eukaryota; Viridiplantae; Streptophyta; Magnoliopsida; Lamiales; Oleaceae
Exons: 2
Source: RefSeq, a predicted model, not a curated record
UCCAUGGUGUUCAAGUUUUGGGGAGAAAAAAAGAGAGAAAAAUUAUUUUUUUUAAUUUUUCAAUAGUCCAGUUCAAGAAUUGAUUUCUUGAUUUAAUUAAAAGAAGGUGCCCAUUCAUCGAUUUAGUCUUGACUUUGGACAAUACCAUAGAAGACUUGGAGAUUUGAACCACCAAGUUCUUGAAAUUAGAAGGAAAAAGUUGGAAGUUCGUGAUUUAGAAUAGAUUCAAGAACUUAUCAUCGAAUUUAGAUACAACAUCAACUAGAAUCAAAGUUUCAAAAGAAAAAACUCUUCAAUCUCUUCGAUGGCUUCAUGAUCAAUCUCAUUUGAUUUUUCUUCUUCUUUCAUUUAAAAAAUAGAUGUAUGAAAUUAUAUGGAUGUUUUGUAAAGUUUCCUCAAAGCUGGAACGAAUGUGGAUUUAAUGAUCAAAAGAUUCAUA